This 1209-nucleotide long non-coding RNA is filed under the name Taeniopygia guttata (zebra finch). RNAcentral's name for it is "lncRNA (ENSTGUG00000026782.1)". The record is from RNAcentral. Lineage: Eukaryota; Metazoa; Chordata; Aves; Passeriformes; Estrildidae.
GGAUAUAUAAAAAUUCUCAAAAGUUUAGGACAUCACUUUUUUUUUAACAGGAAGUAGUCAAUCAUACACAAGUCGGAAAGUUUUAGCUACAAUCUCACUUCAACAAUAGCAUUUUGCAUUAAUUAAAUGCAAUGUUUGUGUGGGCUGACAACACUGCCAGGAUGCCAGAUAUCCACUAAAGCCACUCUAUCAGUUCCCUUCUCAGCUGGGCAGGGAAGAGAAAAUAUAAUAAAACAAUACAUCUUGGGAUGGGAUAAAGGCAGGGAGAGAUCCGUCACUGACUUCUGUAAUAGGAAAAACAGGCUUCACUUGGUGCAAUUCAUUACCAAUCAAAUCCAAAUAGCAGAAUAAAAAAUAAAACAUUUUUCCCCCAUCCUUCCCUUUUUUCCAAACUCAGCUUUAUUCCUGAACUCUACCUCCUCCUCCUCAGAGGUGCAGGGAGACAGGAAAUGAAAUCUGUGGCCAGUUCAUCAUGUGUUUUCUGAUGCUCCUUCAUCCUCCCAGGAAGGGCUCCUCACGCUUUUUACCUGCUCCAGUACGGGGCCCCUUCCAUGGGAGAUGGUUCUUCCCAAACUUCUCGAAGGAGAGUCCUUCCCAUGGACUGCAGUUCUUCAUCCACACUGCUCCAGUGUGGAUCCCCCCCAGAGUUACACACAGCUGCCAUCAGACCUGCUCCAGUGGGGUCUAUGCACAAGGUCACAGCAUCCUUCAGGCAUCCACCUGCUCUGCUCUGGUGUGGGGCUCCCCACAGGCUGCAGUGGAUCUCUGCUCCCACCAUGGACCUCCACGGGCUGCAGGGACACAGCCUAUUGCUCCAUGGGCUGCACCACAGGCAGCAGGGGAACCUCUGCUCUGGUACCUGGAGCACCUCCUGCCCCUCCUUCUUCACUGACCUUGGUGUCUGCAGAGCAGCUCCUCUCACUCCUCUCUCCAGCUGCACUUGCUGUUGCUGCAACCACUUUUUCUGCUUCUUAAAUUGCUGUCCCAGAGUGUUACCUCUGUCACUGAAGGGCUUGGCCUUGUCCAGCAGUGGGUCUGUGAUGGAACUGGUUGGCUCUGGCUCUUUCAGACACAGGGGAAGCUUCUCAGAUUCUCAAAGAAAUCACCCCAUAGUCUCCCCACUACCAUGCCAUGCAAACCCUUAGUAUUUCAAUGUCCUAAGACUUUAAUAAUCUGAGUUUUUCUGCACAGUUUACAGAAUCACAGAAU